Long non-coding RNA from Chenopodium quinoa (quinoa), 2210 nucleotides. RefSeq lists it as uncharacterized. The transcript has 4 exons. The record is from RefSeq and is a predicted model, not a curated record. NCBI's taxonomy places the organism in Eukaryota, Viridiplantae, Streptophyta, Magnoliopsida, Caryophyllales, Amaranthaceae.
AUAAAAUUUGACCUUAAGGAGCGCGGUCAUCCUAAAAAUUUUAAAAGAAAAAAUUAGAGCGGCCUAUUUAACUUUUUUUAUGUGGUCGUUAAUGUCUAUGUUUGAAGCAUUUUUAUAAUUUUACCACUCUCAAAAACCUAGAUUGGAAAUCCUUUUGUACUCCGUAUUUGAUUUUUUUUUACAAAAUCCUUUGCUUCUUUCAAUUCUUCGCCUAUUCCAUUUAUGGCGGCAAGGUUUUGGUGGUGGAAUUUGUAAAAGAUACGGCAUUGGUGGUGGAAUCGGAAAAGGUAAAGGCUUUGGUGGUGGAAUAGGUAAAGGAGGCAGUUUGGGUGGUGGAAUUAACAGCUGUUGUAGCUUUCUAUCAAUCAAUAAGUUGUUUUCUUGGCGAACGAGAAGGCGGCGGCGAUGCUCGAUUGUUAUAGUGGCACGACCCACUUUCACGACUAAGGAUAAAAGGUUGGGGGCCAUAACCGAAGCCUUGGUGACAAUGAAGGCUGAAGGUCUAUGCUUUGGAAAAUUAUUUCAAGAAAGGCAUCAAAAACUUGAGGGAAAUGGAAAUCAGGUCGCUGGCAGCUGUGCUACUAUAGAAAGGGUACUAUAUGAUUCUUUUCUGGUCAUUUCCUAUAUUGAUGUCUAUAGCUACAUUUGGGGCAUGCUGUUUCUUAGGCAUUCCUUUGGAUGCUGGUAAUGUUUUUACAUUUCUAACUACUUUGAGAAUAGUUCAGGGGCCUGUGAGGUUAAUCCUGGUUGUUGUCAUAGCCUGUAUACAAGCAAGUGUGUCAUUAGACAGAAUCAUAAGGUUCCUUGAUGCAACUGAGCUGCAGAAUCAACAUAUCCAGCCAAUGAAGAAAGGGAAGGAGAUAGAGAAGUCUAUAGAUAUCAGAAGCACGACGAUUUCAUGGGAUUGCUCAAUGAAGCCAAACCUUAGGAAUAUAAAUUACUUGUUAAACCUGGAGGGAAGGUAGCCAUUUGCGGAGAGGUUGAAUCCGGUAAAUCCACACUCUUGGCAGCCAUUCUUGGAGAAGUUCCCAGCAUUAUUGGCACAAUGUAUUUUCAGGUGCAAGUUUAUGAAAAGCUUGCCUAUGUCUCUCAAACGACAUGGAUUCAAACUGUGACUAUAAGAGAUAAUAUUCUAUUUGGUUCUUCCAUGGAUCAUUAAAGAUAUCAAGACACACUUAAAAGGUGCUCAUUGGUAAAAGAUAUUGACAUGCUUCCAUGUGGUGAUCUCACAGUAAUUGGGGAAAGAGGAGAUAACCUCAGUGGUGGACAGAAGCAGUGAGUCCAGCUAGCACGCGCCUUGUAUCAAGAUGCUUAUCUUUACCUCCUGGAUGAUCCAUUCAAUUGUUGAUGCUCACACCGCGACUAGUCUAUUCAAUAGAUAUGUCAUGGGAGCUCUGACUGGAAAGACUGUCCUGCUAGUCACUCACCAAGUUGACAUCCUCCCUACAUUUGAUUAUAUCUUGGUUAGUUUUAAAUAAGGUCAUAUCUUUUUCUUGACUAUCCUUCCAUCUUAUCCCCGACUCUAAUUUGUAGAAAGAUAAAGAAAAUAUGAGGUAAAUAAAAGAUAAAGGAACAAGAAUAGAAGAUAUACUGUUUUUCGAUUUAAGCAAAGUGAUCUUAUAUAUAUAUCACUUUUUUUAUAGUUGAUGAUGGUUGAAGAUAUGUCAAGGUAAGUAACCUGUUAGCAGACAUUCUUUUGGUGUUGUGAUAUAAAAUUUUUUUUGGAGUGUGAACAUGGAGAGAAUCAUACAAUUUUAGAAACUUAGUAUCACUGACUUCCUGCACAGUUCUGCUUAUUUAACUGUUUUUUUUUUGAGCUCAAGCAUGUCUAAUCUUAAAACUGCCUUUGUUUUUGGAAUUGUUUGAUUGGAUUGUUGGUUAAUGUGUGGUAUAUGGGUGUUGUUAUUCACAGGAGUUUGUGAAGAGGUAUUCCAAAUUCAUUAAUUUCCCCAUAAAUCUUUGGGCAACCAAGGAAGUUGAAUAAGAGAUUCCAGGAGAUGACGAUGACUCGUAAGAUGAAGAAUGCCCAAGACUAUUUUUUUUAUGUUCUUUGAUGUAGUUUUUUAUUUUUUUUUCAUUGUUUAAGAAAUUAUUUUUAGCAUUAAGAUUUUAAACAUAGGCUUUAAUUUAUGCAUUUUGGAUGCGGUUGGUGUAUGACAAUAUUAUUGGUUUUCGAUUGGAAUUUGAUGAUAAAUUAUGUUAGUGAAUAA